Molecule: ribosomal RNA, 494 nt
Filed under: uncultured bacterium
Lineage: Bacteria
Description: partial 16S ribosomal RNA
Rfam family: Bacterial small subunit ribosomal RNA
Source: RNAcentral
GACGAACGCUGGCGGCGCGCUUAACACAUGCAAGUCGAACGGAAAGGCCUGCUUUCCCUUGUGGAUUGCGGGUACUCGAGUGGCGAACGGGUGAGUAACACGUGAGUGAUCUGCCCCCAACUUGGGUAUAAGCCUGGGAAACUGGGUCUAAUUCCCGAUAGGACUGCAGGGUGGUGCCUGUGGUGGAAAACGAUUUUCUAGUGGUUGGGGAUGAGCUCGCGGCCUAUCAGCUUGUUGGUGGGGUAAUGGCCUACCAAGGCGGCGACGGGUAGCCGGCCUGAGAGGGUGGGCGGCCACAUUGGGACUGAGAUACGGCCCAGACUCCUACGGGAGGCAGCAGUGGGGAAUAUUGCACAAUGGGCGGAAGCCUGAUGCAGCGACGCCGCGUGGGGGAUGACGGCCUUCGGGUUGUAAACUCCUUUCGACCGCGAGGAAGCCACCUGGUUGGAAGGGUGGUGACGGUAGUGGUAGAAGAAGCACCGGCUAACUACGUG